CGACCUCAGAUCAGGCGGGACUACCCGCCGGAUUUAAGCAUAUUAAUAAGCGGAGGAAAAGAAAACAACCGUGAUUCCCUUAGUAGCGGCGAGCGAACCGGGAAAAGCCCAUCGCCGAAUCUCGCCGCGCACUUUUGUGUCGCGGCACGUAUGAGAGUUGUGGCGUACGGGCCGGCCUCGUUGCCGGGGCGCACGUGACGGUCCAAGUCUCCCUUGAACGGGGCCAUGGCCCGCAGAUGGUGCCAGGCCAGUAGAGGCCGUCACAGCGUUCCGGGAUCGGACCGCGCCUUCGAGUCGGGUUGCUUGAGAGUGCAGCCCGAAGCGGGUGGUAAACUCCAUCUAAUGCUAAAGGUACUCGUGAGGGAAAGUUGAAAAGAACUUUGAAGAGAGAGUUCAUAAGAACGUGAAACCGCUCGGUGUAAACGGACAGAGCUCGCGAAUC
RNAcentral lists this non-coding RNA (442 nucleotides) under Acyrthosiphon pisum (pea aphid). RNAcentral's name for it is "Eukaryotic large subunit ribosomal RNA". It matches the Rfam family "Eukaryotic large subunit ribosomal RNA", at positions 1 to 438 of the family's 3401-position model. Lineage: Eukaryota; Metazoa; Arthropoda; Insecta; Hemiptera; Aphididae. The record is from Rfam by way of RNAcentral.